RNAcentral lists this small nucleolar RNA (205 nucleotides) under Monodon monoceros (narwhal). Its description in RNAcentral is "Small nucleolar RNA U3 (ENSMMNG00015009872.1)". It matches the Rfam family "Small nucleolar RNA U3". From Rfam's summary of the family: Small nucleolar RNAs (snoRNAs) are involved in the processing and modification of rRNA in the nucleolus. There are two main classes of snoRNAs: the box C/D class, and the box H/ACA class. U3 snoRNA is a member of the box C/D class. The record is from Rfam by way of RNAcentral. Lineage: Eukaryota; Metazoa; Chordata; Mammalia; Artiodactyla; Monodontidae.
UAAAAUAUUUUUGGGAUCAUUUGUAUAUUUCGCUAUUAGACAAGUUUCUCUGAAUGUGUAGAGCAUCCAAAACCACAAGGAAGAGGUACAGCAUUCUCUCCUGAGCAUGAAGCCAGCUCUAGGUGUUGCAACUGCCAUUAGCCAGUGAUAAUCCUUCUUCUCUUCCUUUGGGAGAGUAAGAGGGAGAGAAUGCUGUCUGAGUGGU